This 372-nucleotide ribosomal RNA is filed under the name uncultured bacterium. RNAcentral's name for it is "bacterial SSU rRNA". It matches the Rfam family "Bacterial small subunit ribosomal RNA", at positions 527 to 898 of the family's 1533-position model. The record is from RNAcentral.
GAACCGAGCGAACGUUGUUCGGAAUCACUGGGCUUAAAGGGCGCGUAGGCGGGUAUUCAAGUCUGUGGUGAAAUCCGGCAGCUCAACUGUCGAAUUGCCGUGGAUACUGGGUAUCUCGAGGGAGGUAGGGGUGCGCGGAACUGAUGGUGGAGCGGUGAAAUGCGUUGAUAUCAUCAGGAACUCCGGUGGCGAAGGCGGCGCACUGGACCUCUUCUGACGCUGAGGCGCGAAAGCCAGGGGAGCAAACGGGAUUAGAUACCCCGGUAGUCCUGGCCCUAAACGUUGGGUACUAGAUAGUAGGGUUCACAUGGCUUUACUGUCGAAGCAAAAGUGCUAAGUACCCCGCCUGGGGAGUAUGGUCGCAAGGCUGAA